Neltuma alba is the source of this 481-nucleotide long non-coding RNA. RefSeq lists it as uncharacterized. Lineage: Eukaryota; Viridiplantae; Streptophyta; Magnoliopsida; Fabales; Fabaceae. The record is from RefSeq and is a predicted model, not a curated record. The transcript has 3 exons.
UCCUGUUAUGCAAUAAUAUGAGGGGAUAUGACAUGAUAAGAGAGAACCUUCCAGAUCCCAUCUCAAAUGGCUCUUUUCAUCCAAUAAUAAAUGAGUUUCCUGUAAUUGGGAGUUUGCUUCAACAACUUCUCCUGACAGUUGAUAAGGUCGAUAGCAGCAGAACAGCUUGUGAACGCUUGAUCAGUGAUGGAUCAUACAUAGAGAACUCCAUUUGAGGAUUCUUUCUCUGUGACCAUGAAUACAAGAACUAGGCCCUUCAAUUUUAUUGCUGUGAUGGAUAGAAGACCAGCUAGUGUAAAUAAAAAUUGUAUAUUUGAUGGUAAAAAACCAUUGUAUAUUGGAACUACAAUGGAUGGAAAAUUGACUGGAGCAGUUUGUAAAUGUGAAAAUGGUAUGUAACUGUAGUUUUCUGAUUCAAAAUUCUGUCCCUCUGUUGCUUCUUGGUUUGUUAUAGAUCCUAUUUCAAAAUGUUCUAUGCAGU